GCAGAGGCAGAAGUUACUCUGGGGGUGAAUCUCGGGACACCGCCGAAACCGACUGGGAAGGAAAAAAAGGCAACUCAGUGUUGUAUGCAAACGUCGGCAAACAAACAGAAAGCUUUACAAAACACGGAAAGGGGCAUCCAGACUUUACCAGAGCCAGCCUCCCCUCAGGUGUAAGUUCGCGAGGGUAACAGAAUGGCCGGCAUCCACUGAGCCUCUGCUACUACAUUUAGAAAACCUAUAAAGUGGAGCUUACUUAAUAGAAUGCCAGGAAAAUUCCCCAAAGAUGCAGAAACUGGUAACUCAGGUCAGGAAAUGGCAGAACGAGGAUUUGAACCCACAUCUGUCUGUCUACCCAGCCUACAAUUUUUCCAUUCUGCUGAAAGCUGGGAGGAACCUUAGGCAGUGUCUCAUCCGCUGGUUUUCAAACCGGAUUCUAAGGAACGCGAGGCUCUCCAGGAAGUGCUUUAGGAAUCUUUGGGGAAGAACUGGGAAAGAGGACAUGUGUUGGGAGGCCAGGUAAGUUGGGCUUGGCCCCAGUCAUUGGAUUCAAACAAAGAAGCUUCAUUUCUAUCUGUUUUAUAGUGACUUUAAGUUUUGUUUGAAAUAAGGGUUUUGCUACUAAAAAGUUAUUUUAAAACUCUUGAUCUAGGGGCUCCUAGGUGGCUCAGUCGGUUAAACAUCCGACUC
Herpailurus yagouaroundi (jaguarundi) is the source of this 687-nucleotide long non-coding RNA. RefSeq lists it as uncharacterized. NCBI's taxonomy places the organism in Eukaryota, Metazoa, Chordata, Mammalia, Carnivora, Felidae. The record is from RefSeq and is a predicted model, not a curated record. The transcript has 3 exons.